Molecule: ribosomal RNA, 435 nt
Filed under: uncultured Alphaproteobacteria bacterium
Lineage: Bacteria; Pseudomonadati; Pseudomonadota; Alphaproteobacteria
Description: bacterial SSU rRNA
Rfam family: Bacterial small subunit ribosomal RNA
Source: RNAcentral
AGAGUUUGAUCCUGGCUCAGAACGAACGCUGGCGGCAGGCCUAACACAUGCAAGUCGAACGCCCCGCAAGGGGAGUGGCAGACGGGUGAGUAACACGUGGGAACCUUCCCUAUAGUACGGAAUAGCCCAGGGAAACUUGGAGUAAUACCGUAUACGCCCGAAAGGGGAAAGAUUUAUCGCUAUAGGAUGGGCCCGCGUAGGAUUAGCUAGUUGGUGAGGUAAUGGCUCACCAAGGCGACGAUCCUUAGCUGGUUUGAGAGAACGACCAGCCACACUGGGACUGAGACACGGCCCAGACUCCUACGGGAGGCAGCAGUGGGGAAUAUUGGACAAUGGGCGCAAGCCUGAUCCAGCCAUGCCGCGUGAGUGAUGAAGGCCUUAGGGUUGUAAAGCUCUUUUGCCGGGGACGAUAAUGACGUCCCCGAGAAUAAUCCC